UGGAAAUGCAGUGGCGGUCUCGGUUUCUCGUGCUUUGGGCUAUUCUCUAGGUAUGACUUUCCGUGGUCUAGCCGGUGACGAGAAUAUGAUAAAACUUCCCCAGAAGUUUUCUCAUUCAAGUUACCUUCAGCUUCAAGAAUCCAUUCCUCACUAAAAUUAUGUAGUUGUACGACUUGGAAAGUCAAUAGCAGCAGAAAUGUUGUACCUUUUACCAUUUAUUUCUCUACACGAGGGUUGAGCUAAACGAAGACGUUCUGAGCUCAAACUCUUAUCAAUUUUUCUCAUCAAACUACAAAUUUUGUUGAUUAGUUAUGGCUGAUAAAACCAUGUUUAAUUUUUUUAAAAAAAUUUCUUUCAUUUUACAUGUGUUUAGUGUAAGCUUGAAGUAAACCCACUAUGCUUAUUUUUAUUCAAAAAGAGACUUUAAAAUGAUUUGAGCUCAUAAAGGCGUGAACCUAGCGCUAAUGACAAGGGCCAAUGACUAAUAGGAAAAAAAUUACAACAAUUAAAAACCAAGGAUAACAAAUGCCUUGGCUUUGAAUGCUUUGGUUAAAAGGAAAACCCGUGGGAUCUCUUUAUCUUACAGCUUCUAUGGCUUAUUAGUCUUCUAACAACUCCUUUGGUAAUACCAAAUUGGUAUGUACCAAAUCCUUAUAAAGCCUAGAGGCAUGUAAUCAUUGUCCCUUCAAUGCCAUUGUAAACUUGGCUACUCUAUGCCAAUGAAUGGGUCGAUUACCAAGCAAAAUAGAAGUUGCACAUUGUAACGAGAUAUGUAAUAAACUAUUUUUUUUCACUAUGAAUUGAUAUUACAAAAAUAAAAAAAAAGAUGUAUCGAAACAAAGAUGGGAAAAGAAAAGAAGACGUGAUAAAGAAUUGACCAUUUCAAAGAGCAACCAAACACUUUUAUGUGACAGAAAAUAUAUGAAAGUUUGAUGGUAAUUUUUUCUGAAGUGGUUGUUAAGGAGUCAAUACACUAUUUUAUUAAUCUGACUCCAGAUUCGGAACUAUAGCCGAAGAGAGCUCUAUAUGCGAAACCCGAACCGCACCGAUGAGCCUUUCCGGCAACUCCUCCGGUGUAUUUGCCUGCAAAACCGAACCAUAUUUGUUUUAUACAUUAUAACAGUAACCCCAACUACUUGAGCAAAAAAAAACAUAUGAUAUUAUGUGUCCGUUUGUUACCUACCUGUACAAGGAAAGCCAUUUCGACAACCAACGAUGUGAUUACACCAAUGACGAGACCCAGAACUCCAUUUGCAACAGUUGAUGAACCAAUAUCCACGUCGAUCUAACAAAUGAACACGAUACAAUCAUUGUGUUAUUAAUGUUUACAGAGAGAGCUUUCAUAUUCAAUGCAUGUUCACUCACUUCUAAGUAUGUCGGGCCACGAAUGUAGUUGCAGUCCACUGCUUUCCCGAGGAGACAUGGGGUGCUUCCCACGCUUUGCCGUACUAUCCAUGACCCCUGUUAUAGAUUUCGGUUAUAAUAUGGAAAAAAAUAAUGUGAAUAUAUACUUGCAGUAGUAAUCACACAAACAAAGAGAGAUAAAACAUACCUUAGGAACUUGAGGUAUAAGCUUUAGCCGGCUAUUUCGAAAUUCAUCGUCACCAUCAACAAAACGUUGCAACAGGGACCCAGGUACAAGUUCUUUCGUCACGAAAUAAAACACCAUACUGUAGUGUGUUGACCCCGGAACCUAUUAUUGAAAAAAACAGUUUUAAACGUGUAUAAAUAUGACUUUGUGGUUUGUGCAUUACGUUUAGAAUCUUAAUAAUAGUUUGGGGCCAAACUUACUUGAACAUUAACCACCAUCGAGAAUAGACCUUUCUCUGCAGCAACCUGAACAUUGUUUAUCGAAAGACUCAAUAAUCUUUCAUGGAGAUUUCUUUCUAAGCGAUAAAGAUGAAUCCACAAGCAAGAGUAUAAAUAACAUAGGAAGUAUUUGAAUAUUCUUACUUGUGCUGCGCAGCCUUUACGCCUAGCCACAUGAUCUAUUCUUUUACUGUCUUUGAACCAGUCGACAGCAACCAGAUCCAUAAGAUGCUUCCCAGCAGGAAUCUUCAGUACAGCAUUAAACGGACAGGAACAGAAGUUAGCCGGAAUGUAAGAACCCAACCAUUCAGCAAUUAGCAAGACAAAAGGUUUACUGACCUUUCUUUUAUCGUCACAGAAACUCUUGCUACGAACUUUGAAGUUGCUCCCGUCAGAAGUCCUCCAGCAGUUACGAGCAUUUUCAUUUUCAUUUCGCUUUAGAUUACCCGAAAAGCAUGAUAGAUCAAUGUUGUGAGCAGGUUCUUCUUCUGAAACCGCAUAAGAAACCAUCGGAGGUAUUAGAUAAGCCUAAUGAGCUCGAAGUAGGAAGCUUAAACUUAAUGAUAGGGUGCUCACCUGUUUUCUUGACAUCAGUCUCUGUUUUACUUGUUUCAGGCUGAAACAGUACACAAGAAUAACUAUUCAAUUCCAGAUGAUGCUUAAUAUUAGAAAAAAAAACCUAAAUGCUCAGUAUUUAAACCUCUUGUUCUGAUUCAGCGAUCUGAAACUCAUCAUCAUCAUCUGAGUCUUCAUCCAGGAGCACGGAGUUUCUGUUGGCAGAGUUUGUUUGAUCAAUAGAAAAUGCAGACUGGUGCACAGACCUUCCGCUCUUACUCAAGCUCAAGGAGGAAGAUGCCAUAUUAACCAUAACAGGGAUCCUGGUAUGAACACCUCUCUCAUCUGUCUGUGAAAACCAUUCCCGCAAACCUGCCAUGAGCACGAGACAAUGUAUUACAACGGAUGCUAAUAAAUUAGCCAGUGGAUUUCUUUUGAAAGAAAGCAUGAAAGAGCUUACCAGCAACACUGUUCAGCAUUUGAAGAAGACAAUGUUGUUGAAAUGCUGGAAGAUAGCCUGCACCCCACCCUUUUAGAUCAAUUUGUAUUAGGUGUUGCACCUGUGUUCUAGGCCUCCCAUUUCGGGGCUUUAGCGGGGCAAUAUUAUAUCCUCCACCUAAGUUUAACAAAAGUAGGACGGGUUAGAUAGUAGUAGAUCCACGAUCAUAUUAAGCGUUCAGACAUUCUUUGAGUUUGCUAAGCUUACUCUCGAGAUGAGCACGGACACAUCCAGGUUGUGGACCACAAUUAUCAUGCUCCCUAGAACGGAACAGCACAACUUCACAGAAAGAGCGAGAUAAAUAACCAACAAGCUAAUGUAAAACAAUAUUUACAGAUUAUAGCAUGAGUAAAGGGGGAAAGGAAGGUACCAUAACUCCCAUCAUCAUUACGUCGCCAAUAGCGGACAUAACAUAGGUCACGAGGCCCUUCAUUUUCAGAAAUGGGCUAUUGACCAGAAUUUGGCUGCCUGUGAGAGCUUGAAACUGAACCAUCCACAGACGCAGGUCAGAAUACUUUUGGUGCCAACUGCUAGUUCAUUUUAAGGAGAAUGAUGCCAAAUCUGAUGUUGCUGUCUUUGUUUACAGGUUAGGAAUGACUCUGCUGGAGAUUUCCUCCAACUUUUGAAGGAGUGGGGUAAAUUAUGCAAGCGCUAUGUGCGUAACAAUGGUCAUACAACUGAUACAUUAAACCCCGAAAAUUCAACAAAGGAAGCCACUGAAAGUAGCUCUUCUACUGAAGAUGAUUCAGAACCUGAGGAGUACGAAGUUGAAAAGCUGGUUGAUAUAUGCUAUGGUGAUCCUGACAAGACAGGAGAACGUGGCCUAAAGUUUAAGGUAUGGCAAGAGGACAUGUCACAAUUUUGUUGUUGAUCGACUUUACUCUUUAGUCUUUACGGGUUUAAGAAUGUUCUUUUCACCUUCUACAACUUGCAAGAUAGAUAUUCUUCAUGUCUUUGCUCUCUUGCGACAUAGAAUUUAUGCUCAUGACUAUUUUAUCAGGUGCACUGGAAAGGAUAUAGCAGCAACGAAGAUACUUGGGAGCCAGCAAAGGAAUUGAGGUAUAUGAUUUAAAUUAAUGCUAAAAAGGGUCUCUGUUGUUUAUCCCGAUCUAAUUAAUAUUGUUUGAAAUUUUAGCAAUUGUCAAGAUGCCAUCCGGGAGUUUGUAACAAGUGGAUUCAAGAAGAAUAUCUUGCCACUUCCUGUAAGAUCGUUUCCUUUCAUCUAAAUUGAAUGUUUGAUCUUUGAAAAUUGUAUGAGUGUAGUACCAUCAACAUCUUAUUUCACUGAAAUCAGAAAAUUUUGUAAAUGAAUGUUAAUCCAGGGCGGUGUUGGCGUGAUAUGUGGUGGACCUCCAUGUCAAGGAAUUAGUGGCUAUAACCGCUUCAGGGAUGUUGAUUCUCCGUUGACUGAUGAAAGGAAUCAGCAAAUUGUAGUUUUCAUGGACAUAGUUGAGUAUCUGAAACCCAAAUUCGUGUUGAUGGAAAACGUUGUUGAUAUUCUGCGUUUGGACAAAGGUUCUCUUGGGAGGUACGCUUUGAGCCGUCUUGUGGACAUGAGAUACCAAGCGAGGCUAGGUAUCAUAACAGCUGGUUGCUAUGGUCUUUCCCAAUUUCGUUCCCGAGUUUUCAUGUGGGGAGCUGAUCCAAACAUGGUGAGUUUAUUAUAUGCCUACUUUUAACUUCCUCCUCCUGACUGUUUCCACGUUAAAAAUAAUUUGGUAUUAUAUUCCAGAAACUGCCUCCGUUUCCGCUUCCAACCCAUGAUGUUAUUGUCAGAUAUGGGUUUCCUCUCGAGUUCGAGGUAACAUUACUGUAAACUGGUGAUUACUUCGUACUCUUUGCCUGAGCCCUGGCGUUCUCCCAACUCAACCCAUCUUGGCUUUCAUGUUUCAGAGGAAUGUAGUUGCUUACAGUGAAGGUCAGCCCAGAGAUGUUGAAACAGCUCUUGUUCUAAAAGAUGCGAUAUCAGAUCUUCCUCAUGUAAGUUUCAUAUCCAUUAGAUCCAUGUGCAGUUCAGGGUUAAUCCCAUAGAUUUCUAAUUUUCUUUCAUUUCACAACUCUAGGUGUCAAACAACGAAACCCGGGAAAGAAUGUCCUAUGAAAGUCUCCCAGAGACAGAUUUCCAGAGAUACAUUAGAUCAACCAAACACGGUAAGUUGGACCUGUCUGGAAUUUUAGAAUUAAGAGUCUCAGAAAUGACUACUCACUCGCAUAUUCCAUAAGUUACUCAGGCGUUAGCGUUUUGCUUUGUCAGAUAUGACUGGCUCUGCGACUGAUAACUGUACAAAAAGGACGAUGCAACUGUAUGAUCACAGGCCGUCCCUUUUGUCUGAAGAUGAUUAUAACCGAGUUUGUCAAAUCCCAAAGAAGAAGGUAGUCACUUCUUUCUACUAACCAGUAUUCCGGCAGAGCAACAUUCUCACCGUAGAUAAUUUUGCAGGGAGCUAAUUUCAGGGAUCUUCCAGGGUUAAUCGUCAGAAACGACAAUACAGUCUGCCGUGAUCCAUCAAUGGAACCUGUCCUUCUGCCAUCAGGAAAACGUUUGGUAAAGACUCCUCUUAUAUAAGUAGAACCAUAUCAAAAAAUGUAGCUAUUGACAUGCUACUUGUUAAGUCUGCUGAUUGAACACUUGUAGAAAUUUUAGAAACGAAUAUAUGUAUAUAAAAUCAGCUGACGUGUGGCCCUCUUUAGGUACCAGAAUAUGUCUUUACUUUUCAGCAAGGGAAAUCUAAAAGGUAAUUUUCUUGAAACAAUUUGUUGAGCAUUCCUAUGUGUUUCUAAGUCUCUCUGGAUUUCUGGUAUGGCAGACCGUUUGCGCGUCUUUGGUGGGACGAAACAGUUCCAACCGUUCUGACAGUCCCCAGCUGCAGCAAUCAGGUAUCCUUAAACUCACCACCCAUGUAGAUCUCACUUGAAACCCAUCUUUUAUGUUCUUUAACAUUCAGUUUUCGCUAUUUACAGGCGUUUUUGCAUCCAGAGCAAGAUCGAAUACUAACCAUAAGAGAAGCCGCACGGCUUCAAGGUUUCCCUGAUUACUUCCAGUUCUGUGGAACCGUUAAACAAAGGUACUUUACUUGUUUUCUUUUGUAAAAAAGUCUAAAAAAAAAUAGCAGAGAUAAUAGUGUGACAGAUUCCUUAGCGAAUCUCACUCACUGCUUUUGGUUUUGUACAGGUACUGUCAGAUUGGAAAUGCAGUGGCGGUCUCGGUUUCUCGUGCUUUGGGCUAUUCUCUAGGUAUGACUUUCCGUGGUCUAGCCGGUGACGAGAAUAUGAUAAAACUUCCCCAGAAGUUUUCUCAUUCAAGUUACCUUCAGCUUCAAGAAUCCAUUCCUCACUAAAAUUAUGUAGUUGUACGACUUGGAAAGUCAAUAGCAGCAGAAAUGUUGUACCUUUUACCAUUUAUUUCUCUACACGAGGGUUGAGCUAAACGAAGACGUUCUGAGCUCAAACUCUUAUCAAUUUUUCUCAUCAAACUACAAAUUUUGUUGAUUAGUUAUGGCUGAUAAAACCAUG
RNAcentral lists this long non-coding RNA (6376 nucleotides) under Brassica napus (rape). RNAcentral's name for it is "long non-coding RNA (BNAP_LNC009339)". Lineage: Eukaryota; Viridiplantae; Streptophyta; Magnoliopsida; Brassicales; Brassicaceae. The record is from RNAcentral.